Molecule: long non-coding RNA, 101 nt
Organism: Lemur catta (Ring-tailed lemur)
Lineage: Eukaryota; Metazoa; Chordata; Mammalia; Primates; Lemuridae
Exons: 3
Source: RefSeq, a predicted model, not a curated record
GACUAAACAUAUUCCAGCCUAAAAGUUAAAAUCCUAGAAAUACAGGAUGGGAGUCUACCUGAAGGCCAAACAAGAUCCCAAUUGGAAUGAGAAUGCUCCUC